GCCUGCCGGGGGAGCUGUUCUGUGCCGGAACUGCCCCAGCCCCAGCUCUGUGUGUGUCUCUGCCCUCACCCUCUGCAACCCCAGCCUGUCCCCAGCAGACCCGUGCUGGGGCAGUGCUCGGUGCUGUGCCUGCUGCUCUCCCCACUCGCUGCACACUCGAUUCCAGACGACGCUGUCGAGGUUCCUUGUCGAUAUUUUACUUUUUAUUAGAACUGUGGCUUCUCAGAACUCCUCGUUGCUUCUCCAGAUGCCAAUAAACACGAAGCCAAUCUCCACCAGCGUGGCUCAUCUUCCUCAGAGAACCUGGCUCAGUGUCUCCCGGAGUCAAUGUGAGUCUUUCCACCGUUUCCAGUGGGUGUCAAGUCCAGCUCUUGUUUAGGCUGAGAUGGCAGGCGCCGGCUCUGAAUGGGCUUUGAGUGCUGUACACGGAGCACGAGGGGAUCCUUCUUCAUCUCAAGUCCCCCGAGAGCUCUCCUAGCAGCGAUGGUGAACUCAUCCCAAAUAAAUUCAGAUGAAACCCAUUAUAUUUUGGGUUUGAAGGGGAGCAGACAAAACCUGGAUUGCUGUGACUGCAAUUGUCUCUGAGAGCUCUGUGCUUUGUGCAGGCAGUUUAGGAGGUGGAAAAGGCUGGAGUGGUGCGUAUGGUUUCUUAAAGGCUGAGAAUAUUGAUAAACUUGGUGGCAAACCGGGUAGUUGAAAUAUUUUUAGUUCCUCCACUGUGGUGUUUGCUCCCAAAGGUUCCCAGAGCAGCACUAACACAGCCAGUGGGGCAGCUAAGGGUGGCUUUUAUCCUCUGCUGACUAACACGCUGCAGCCAGAUGGAAUGGAAUAAAUCUCUUCUUACACACAACCAAGCCAAAACAAAUAUUAUGCAAUGAUUAAGUGGCAACCCAAACAGAAGCAGGCGUCCUGUGGGCUGAAACAGGAAAUCUUGGGUUACAAAACUCAAGAUAUGUGAAUUUAAUUUGAUUAUAUGUUUGAUGGCUAUCUGGAGUGGGCCAUGAAUAAUUGAUGAAAACUAGAAAAGCUGCUGUUUGCCUUUAAAAUCAAGCUGAAGAAAGUAGGAGCUGAGUGUUUAGGAGCAUAAUUACUGUUUGCAUGGGUCACAUGAGGGGUCCCCGCUGUCCCUGGUGGUGACCAGCAGCGGGAGCUGAUGGAAGGGCAAAUGUGGAAUUCUCCCUGUGUGGCUGCAUUAGUGAUUUAGCAUCAAUUGAGCGAGGAGGAGGAACAGCAAAGUUCUUCAGCUCCUCUGGGGCUGAGCUGGAGCAGGAACCUCCUGAAACUUGGUAGGUGCUGUUUUCUGCCUUCACCUGGUGCAGAGUGGGAGCAGAACCUGCUGCUGGGACUAAACUUAAGGUUGGAAGAGACCCCCAAGAUCACCAAGUCCAACUCCUCGUGCUCUGCAGCUCCUAGUGUCUCUCCAGAAGAUGCAACGACCUGAACUUUGCUGGUGGUGCCACUGAAACCUGGGUCCUUCCCACUUCAUUCCAGCUGGCAGAGGCAGCCCUGGGCUAGAUUUUAGGAGGAGGUUCUCGGCCGUGGGGCUGGUGAGGCGUUGGCACAGGUUGUCCAGGUGCUCCACAUCCUCACUCACCACGGAGGGGGCUGCAGUGCCAGGGGUUACCUGGCAGGGAGUCCUUGCUGCUGCAUGGAGAUAAAGGUAGAAGAGGGAUGACGGGUAAACAUCCUUAAAACAAAAUGAUCAUAAAACUUGGAUUUAUUCUGAGCGUUGGAAGGAGAAAACAGCCCAAGGCAGGAGGGGAGGGAGAAAGCUUUGGUUGCUUCAGGAAGCUGAGGGGAGCUGUGCAGAGUGUUGUUCCAGAGGUGUGACCUGUGUGGAGAAGGGGAUAAGCUGCUCUCAGCUGAGGUGAGUGUUAAACCCCACGGGCUCUCAUGGAGACGUUCCAGCACCCACACCCCCGAGAUCCGACCUCAGCUGCAUCCCAGGGAGACCUGAGCAAGGGGGGGAACAAAAGCCUGUCUUUAGAAUACUUUAAACUUCUUAACCCAGGUGCAAAGCACAGGUAGAAAUGAAACAGCAGCCCGAGGAUCUCAGUCAGAAACCAAACAAAUGGACUAGAUGUGGGAAAACAGCCUGGCCUUGUUCACUGCUUUGCUCCAGCCAAAGGAGGAGAGAGGUUAGCAGUGAUUACUCUUGGGUUCCUAUUUGGAUACUUCCACAAUGGCAUAACAGCCAAAUGGAAAGUCUGGACUAAUUUAGGCUGUUUUUAUGAGAGUGGCAAAAAAAUUAUUGUGUGUUAGGCCAGAUGGCUGAAAACAGGCCACUGAGUUGAUUUAUUCCUUUGCAGAUGCUGGGGUAGCCAGGAAAAAAAAAAAAUCCAAAAGAUUUUCAAAGCAUUCCAAAAGCAAAAGGGUUCUUUACUGAGGUUAACUGGUGGCUCUGGGCUCUGGUGGGGUUGAGAUAAACUGGGGGUGGGCUCAUACAUACCAGUGUAGAAGCAGCUGGAUGUUCACAGGUGUUUUCUCAGAGUUGAUGUCCCACUGCCAUAACGCUUCUCUUCAUCAAAUCCCUUCUGAAAAUUGAUGCUUGCACUGAAGACACCACUCCCACGGUGUUGUGAUCGUGUGGACCAGCUGGCAGUCACGGAUUUGGUACCAGUGUGGUCCCCAGUGAGCUUGGGCAGCCCAAAUUUUGGCCAAGUUUCUGUCAGACAGGAGCACACAGCACUGGGGCUGCUGUUUAAUAAUCAGGUUUUUAUUGUUUACAGGUUGCAAACACAGAAGCACUUGGUUCAAGAUGAAGGGAGAAGAAGAAAAAAUGAUCCUGAAUGUCCUGGACUGAAAUAAGGCAAAAUGUCCUGGUUACUUUCAAUAUUACCAUUUCUCUGUCUUUUUAGGUCCAUUCUGUAAUCCAUCUGUCUUUACUGAUUUAUUUUCCCCAGGACUUUAUAUCAGAAGGGGGGUUGUAGCUGCUGUGUUUGGGCAGUGCCCAGCACAGGAUGCCCCAGGAGGGGAUUGGGUACAGAGUGAGUGAUCAUUCCUCCUUCUCUUCUCCUUCCCUCCUCACCCCCAUCAGCUCCAUUUGCUCAGUGUUGGCUCUGGCUUGAGUUUGAUUUUUGCCUCGUUCAGAAACACUUCCCUUAAGAGAACCAAAACACAAAAAGCUGAGGAUGCUUCCAUUGCCUUUUCCCCCCAUAAUAUGGAGUUUUAAGUGGCCUCACUCGAGAGGGACCAAUCAAGUCUCCGCCUGAGAAGCUCAGCAAACAGCUGCCACCCCAAGUCACCACUAAUGACAACACUGAAUCCUCCUUUGUCGUGGGUUUUCAUCCAGCUGUUCCCUAACUCUGAAAGGGACCAUCAAAGGCAGGUUCUAUGUUUAUCCAUCACUUACAAAGCCAUGAGUGAGUUUUUCUUUUGCCCUUCAAAGCCUUUGUCUCUGGAAAUCAGUGGUGAGGAUGGAACGAGCUGGAAUCCAUCCUAGAUUGAUGAGGUGCCUGGCACUGCCAGCACCCCUUCCCUUCCCAAACCUUUCCAAACCUUCCCAAACCUUCCCUUCCCUUCCCUUUCCCUUUCCCUUUCCCUUUCCCUUUCCCUUUCCCUUUCCCUUUCCCUUUCCCUUUCCCUUUCCCUUUCCCUUUCCCUCCUCACCAGCGAUUCCCUUCCUCACCCAUCAGCGUGGUGGUGACUGGUCCGAUGGGCAGCCACUGCCUCUCUCCACCUGGGAAAAGGCAGGGUGGGAAUUCCAACCCCCUUGGAUACCCGUGGAGUCAGUGACUUUCAAGCUUUUAUGGGACAACUUUAACUGAAGAGGGGGGAAAUAACGUCUUGAGUAAGAAAACAGCUGAGAAGCUUCAUGACUGGGGAAGACUUCCAGAGAUUUAUUUUUAGAAUCCUGAACAACUGGAGAUGAACUAUUUUCCUUCAGACACCUCUUUCCAGUAAAACAUUUGUGACACAUCCCACGGGCUGGGGGGAGAGAACUGCUCCAUCCCUGCACAUCAGAAGACACAAUCACUUUUUAAAACUGGUUUGCUUGUUUUUUUUCCUCCUGAAAUAGUUGAAAUAGUUGAGCCUGUUCAGCCAGACCCAGGCUGAGGCAGUGACAGCAUGAUUUGACACAAUUUAUUCUGAGCAAGCUUUGCUUGCAGUUUUUAUCUCAGGGAUAACUUUCUCCCUGAAAUGGUGCUAAAUCCCAUGAAAAACAGCAGAUCCCUAUGCAGGAUCAAGGGACUCUGUUUGUUUAAGUGAAUCUCUAACAAUUCCAGGCAGGUUUGUCUGAGCUCUUGGAUGUUUUCUGUUGAGAGUGUGGACGUGAUUCCUCAUGGUUAAAUCCCAAAUACAUCAGUGGAACAAGGGACCAUCACACCCCCCCCCUCCAGCUGCUCAAACCUUUGUAUGGACCAAUAAAAUAUGUUAAGACAGAGUCUGA
Long non-coding RNA from Pseudopipra pipra, 4390 nucleotides. RefSeq lists it as uncharacterized. The record is from RefSeq and is a predicted model, not a curated record. Lineage: Eukaryota; Metazoa; Chordata; Aves; Passeriformes; Pipridae. The transcript has 2 exons.